UGCGAAACUCGAAUGAACGAACGGGGAGAUUCAUCGUUAUUCCGCGGCGUGGCGGCGCGCUCUCGAUGCUCACGGCCUCGGCCGUGCGGUACGGGGCGCGUCGCUCGACGUUCGCGGACGGCGUGCACUUCUCCCUUAGUACUGCAUCGCGACCCGUUCGACGUCGGCCUAAGCUCCGUUCGGGAGUCACUGUCGCGCCUCUCGGGGCGCGGCGGUGACCGUGACGGUCGCCGGCCGGCUGUCGGACGGUAUUCUGACGGAUCGCGUACGCGUUAACGCGCGUCCGGCCCGACGCAAGGCUACGUCGUUCACUUCCGUCCUGCCCAUGUGCGGGCGGGGGUGCGGCGCGCCUGUUGUCGCAGCCGUGCUGUCUCGGACUGUACGCGUCCCGUGUCUGC
This 398-nucleotide ribosomal RNA is filed under the name Oligopleura nr. aulaeata EO-2016. RNAcentral describes it as "eukaryotic LSU rRNA". The record is from RNAcentral. Lineage: Eukaryota; Metazoa; Arthropoda; Insecta; Lepidoptera; Geometridae.